Molecule: non-coding RNA, 883 nt
Organism: Leptonychotes weddellii (Weddell seal)
Lineage: Eukaryota; Metazoa; Chordata; Mammalia; Carnivora; Phocidae
Source: RefSeq, a predicted model, not a curated record
UAUCUUCCCGUGGGCUAAGUACCAAACCUAAUAGUAACAUAUAUGACUUACUUUCCUAAGCAAAUGCCUGAGCCACCAAAAUGCCAGCAAAGAUGAGAAGUAGUACAGAAUAUUCCUCUUCAGGCAUGAGUAGAACUAGGCCACAGCUGAUUUCACAAAGUGGUAAGCAUAUGUCAAUGCUUAAAAUAAUAACCCUCCAUUUCCCGCCUCUUGAUUUUUCAGUGUAAACUUGUGGAAGCUCAUGAAUAAAAUAUUUCUUUUUUUUUUUUUUUUGCCAGCCUCAAAGUUUAUGUUAGCCCCGAGCCAGAAGAAAUGAAUUUUUAAUUUUUAAUCUGAAACAUUUUCCUUCUGUUUUUCAUAGGUUUCUCCUCAGAAAAGAAAGUCAAUUAGUAGAAGCACACAUAAGUGGAGGAGCAUAUUGGCCAAAGUAGUGUUUCCCUUUGGCACGGAGAGAGGAAAAGAUUUGGGGCAGCUAAGAUCCCAAUCAAGUCUGAGAAGCCAGCAUUACACAACCAAACGCAACGUCCAGUUUCCUCGAAAUGAGAUGUCGCAGAUGGAUUAUGGGCCAUUCUUUGAAACUCUCUUCAGCAUAUGGCUGCUGGAUUUACAGAGACUGAUUUCAUGAUUUCAGCAACUCCACUUUUGGUACAGUGAUGUUCUCUGUUGAUUGAAAAAUAUAUUCCCUGGGGGAAAAGUUCCUGCAGUUGUAAAUUUGUAACAUUGCUCCUAUUGUUUUCAUAGGGCUUGGUUCUUUAGCCAGUUUGACUAGAUACUGUGUUCGUCAUUGUUGACCUUGGUGAACCUAGGAAUAGGACUGAAGACGUGUAUAGACGUCCUUAAACUAAAUGAAUGGUUCAAUCUGAAUAAAACGGUAACCUCGAAA